Molecule: ribosomal RNA, 301 nt
Filed under: uncultured bacterium
Lineage: Bacteria
Description: partial 16S ribosomal RNA
Rfam family: Bacterial small subunit ribosomal RNA
Source: RNAcentral
CAGCCGCCGCGUAAUACGAAGGGGGCUAGAGUUGUUCGGAAUUACUGGGCGUAAAGCGCACGUAGGCGGACAUUUAAGUCAGGGGUGAAAUCCCGGGGCUCAACCCCGGAACUGCCUUUGAUACUGGGUGUCUAGAGUAUGGAAGAGGUGAGUGGAAUUCCGAGUGUAGAGGUGAAAUUCGUAGAUAUUCGGAGGAACACCAGUGGCGAAGGCGGCUCACUGGUCCAUUACUGACGCUGAGGUGCGAAAGCGUGGGGAGAAAACAGGAUUAGAUACCCCAGUAGUCCCUGUCUCUUAUACA